AUUGAACGCUGGCGGCAUGCUUUACACAUGCAAGUCGAACGGCAGCACGGGUGCUUGCACCUGGUGGCGAGUGGCGGACGGGUGAGUAAUGCAUCGGAACGUGUCCUGAAGUGGGGGAUAACGCAUCGAAAGAUGUGCUAAUACCGCAUAUUCUCUGAGGAGGAAAGUAGGGGAUCGAAAGACCUUAUGCUUUUGGAGCGGCCGAUGUCUGAUUAGCUAGUUGGUAGGGUAAUGGCUUACCAAGGCGACGAUCAGUAGUUGGUCUGAGAGGACGACCAGCCACACUGGGACUGAGACACGGCCCAGACUCCUACGGGAGGCAGCAGUGGGGAAUUUUGGGACAAUGGGCGCAAGCCUGGUCCAGCAAUGCCGCGUGAGUGAAGAAGGCC
Molecule: ribosomal RNA, 389 nt
Filed under: uncultured bacterium
Lineage: Bacteria
Description: bacterial SSU rRNA
Rfam family: Bacterial small subunit ribosomal RNA
Source: RNAcentral